This 497-nucleotide ribosomal RNA is filed under the name uncultured bacterium. RNAcentral describes it as "partial 16S ribosomal RNA". It matches the Rfam family "Bacterial small subunit ribosomal RNA", at positions 28 to 507 of the family's 1533-position model. The record is from RNAcentral.
GAUGAACGCUGGCGGCGUGCCUAAUACAUGCAAGUCGAGCGAACAGACGAGGAGCUUGCUCCUCUGACGUUAGCGGCAGACGGGUGAGUAACACGUGGAUAACCUACCUAUAAGACUGGGAUAACUUCGGGAAACCGGAGCUAAUACCGGAUAAUAUAUUGAACCGCAUGGUUCAAUAGUGAAAGACGGUUUUGCUGUCACUUAUAGAUGGAUCCGCGCCGCAUUAGCUAGUUGGUAAGGUAACGGCUUACCAAGGCAACGAUGCGUAGCCGACCUGAGAGGGUGAUCGGCCACACUGGAACUGAGACACGGUCCAGACUCCUACGGGAGGCAGCAGUAGGGAAUCUUCCGCAAUGGGCGAAAGCCUGACGGAGCAACGCCGCGUGUGUGAUGAAGGUCUUCGGAUCGUAAAACUCUGUUAUUAGGGAAGAACAAAUGUGUAAGUAACUAUGCACGUCUUGACGGUACCUAAUCAGAAAGCCACGGCUAACUACGUG